Molecule: long non-coding RNA, 1093 nt
Organism: Mus musculus (house mouse)
Lineage: Eukaryota; Metazoa; Chordata; Mammalia; Rodentia; Muridae
Product: predicted gene, 35184
Exons: 4
Source: RefSeq, a predicted model, not a curated record
AAAAAGUGGAAAAAAAAUGUAUCUCAGGCGUACUGCCUCGAGAACUGGUGAAAUUCUCUAGGUAUUUGUAAUCAACACAAAUGGAGAAAAUAAAGCUAGUUCCCAGAACUUGCCCUUGCUGCUGCCACACCGACACUCUGAGAGCUUCAAGUCACUGUCUUUUAAGAAGAGUGCCUUGGAAACCAGAAUUUAAAUGCAAUGUUUGGGGAGAAAGAGAAGAGAUGCAUUUGCAUGUCUGACCUCUGUCAUUACCUGUAAACACCAGGGAAGAGAAACCCAAGGAGCAUCGAAAAGUGUCACAAGGCCAGAAAAACUCUGCAUCACUUUGGAAAGCAUUGUUUGUGAGUGAAAAUGUUUACAGAGCAACACCAUAUACAUAAGUGCAAGAAGCUUCUCUGACCAAGGCUGAGAACAGCACCAAGCUAUGAUGGUAAACACAAAUAUUUAGAAGACAGUUUAAGCAUGAUCCAUGAGCAUUUAACUAAGCAACAGUAGGUUCCUCUGUACUCUUAGAGCCUAUGACUUCCCCAUCCUUGGCCUCUUGUUCAGGUUUAUGGUAAUAGGUGUGCAUUGCUUCCUGUGCCAAAAACCUGAAAUGCAAUUAGAAAGUAGUUACCUCAGAGCAAUCAUGCCUCUAUUGCAUUCCAAACAUAGCUUGCCUGAGAUUGCUAUUGUAGCUCCCAGGUACAACCUCUUUGUACAUUGAUUGAUGACUUUUCUCCAUCAAUUAUCUAUACCUCUUGGCACUAUAAAAGUGGUCCACUGGGGAUGAAAUUUCUAGGUCAGUUCCAGCUUUGUUUUUUAUGUCCCACAAUCAAGCCUACAGUGUCUUUAGCCUACAAGCCUAAGAUGGUAUAGUAGGCAACCAAGAACAAUGACAAUAGCUUGUGUCAUUUGGAGAGCCUCUAGGGACUCCUUGACUAAUAACUAGGAGAAGGCAUACCACACCAAACACCAAUAUUUUCAUUUAAUAACGCAUGUGUAACAGAUACUCUUAGUUCAAUUUUAUGAUCUGGAAUGAACUAAAAUACAAGAGAAUGGGCACAUCUGCCAAGUGUUUAAUCAGAUUAUCUGGAGAAAGAAGGUCCCCUCU